Molecule: long non-coding RNA, 537 nt
Filed under: Sus scrofa (pig)
Lineage: Eukaryota; Metazoa; Chordata; Mammalia; Artiodactyla; Suidae
Description: lncRNA (ENSSSCG00005000972.1)
Source: RNAcentral
AUGGCUCCAUUGUCUGAGACCUUCUUCAAUCACAUCCCUGUUACCGUGCAGACGAGUGCAUUUCUGGCCUGGGAACCCUGUCUCCCAGGCAACCCGGCUCGCUCACAAAAACAUACCACUUCGCAGAAGAGCACAUUAGAAUUAAAUAUAAAACCAAGGCUUUUCCAUCUUUCUCCAUGUGUUUGGGCUACGCCAACUUUAUUUACAGAGUCGCUGAGGCCAAGGAAGACAUCCCUUCUCGGGGGACAACCGCCUGUGCUGAGCAAAACAGCGGGAAGAAAAGGCUCUCAGACACGGUCAGAAGGAAAAAAGCAAGAGCUGGAGAGCCACACCACGUAGAAGAUGAACAGCAACUGCCUCCCUUCUCGUUUUAAUGUAAGAUAUCUUGUAAAUACAAGAUUUUGUAGGCUCAGCUUGAAAAAUAUGUAUAAAGCAAAUACCCUUGGAACCAUCAUCAAAGUCAGACACACAUCAGGGCCAGGGUCUCAGAGGCCCAUCCCUCGUGAGGCCCUCCUGGUCACAGUUUCACGGGAGCAG